AGGCAAAAUCAGGCCAAAGUUCAUGAAUUGAUCUAAAGAAAAAUCCAAAAGUUCACGUUUUUGAGAUAAGAAAAUCUGCGAGAAGAUGGAGACAGAUAAGAUGGAAUGCAAAACAACGAGUACUCAGUCUUGCACGCAUACCCGAAUCACAAGAAGUUGUAGAGUUUGAACCAAAUGAAAUAGAGUUAGCAAAUUUACAAAUUUUAAAUUGUGUUUGGAGCCUUCCCAGAAAAUAGAACUUAAGAUUGCUGUAUAGUUAGGAUGUCUCAAUAUCACAUUAGUUGUUUCUGAGUAAUUAAAAUUGUUAAAUAUUGACUUAGUAUGUGAUUGCAAUUUGUUGUUUCUUAGAGGAAAUAAUAAAAUAAGAAAGAUGUAACAUACCUUGAUUUAGAAUGAAAUGAAAUACUCCCUCCGUCCUAGCUGU
Molecule: long non-coding RNA, 424 nt
Organism: Salvia miltiorrhiza (redroot sage)
Lineage: Eukaryota; Viridiplantae; Streptophyta; Magnoliopsida; Lamiales; Lamiaceae
Exons: 2
Source: RefSeq, a predicted model, not a curated record